UACGUAGAUCCCGAGCGUUGUCCGGAUUUAUUGGGCGUAAAGCGAGCGCAGGUGGUUUAUUAAGUCUGGUGUAAAAGGCAGUGGCUCAACCAUUGUAUGCAUUGGAAACUGGUAGACUUGAGUGCAGGAGAGGAGAGUGGAAUUCCAUGUGUAGCGGUGAAAUGCGUAGAUAUAUGGAGGAACACCGGUGGCGAAAGCGGCUCUCUGGCCUGUAACUGACGCUGAGGCUCGAAAGCGUGGGGAGCAAACAGG
Molecule: ribosomal RNA, 252 nt
Filed under: uncultured bacterium
Lineage: Bacteria
Description: partial 16S ribosomal RNA
Rfam family: Bacterial small subunit ribosomal RNA
Source: RNAcentral